GCCAGGUGUGGUGGCGCACACCUGUGACCCCAGGUAUCUGGGAGGCUGAGGCAGGAGGAUGGCAAGGUCAAGGCCGGCCUGUGCCCCCCAACCAACAGAGGGCAGCGUGGAGCCCACGCACCCCUGGCCUCUGCCACCCGAGACCCACCUCCU
RNAcentral lists this small RNA (153 nucleotides) under Marmota monax (woodchuck). The record is from RNAcentral. Lineage: Eukaryota; Metazoa; Chordata; Mammalia; Rodentia; Sciuridae.